RNAcentral lists this ribosomal RNA (254 nucleotides) under uncultured bacterium. RNAcentral's name for it is "partial 16S ribosomal RNA". It matches the Rfam family "Bacterial small subunit ribosomal RNA", at positions 524 to 776 of the family's 1533-position model. The record is from RNAcentral.
UACGGGGGGGGGCAAGCGUUGUUCGGAAUUACUGGGCGUAAAGGGCUCGUAGGCGGCCAACUAAGUCAUACGUGAAAUCCCUCGGCUUAACCGGGGAACUGCGUCUGAUACUGGAUGGCUUGAGUUCGGGAGAGGGAUGCGGAAUUCCAGGUGUAGCGGUGAAAUGCGUAGAUAUCUGGAGGAACACCGGUGGCGAAGGCGGCAUCCUGGACCGAUACUGACGCUGAUGAGCGAAAGCCAGGGGAGCAAACGGG